CCUACGGGUUGCAGCAGUGGGGAAUAUUGCACAAUGGGCGCAAGCCUGAUGCAGCCAUGCCGCGUGUGUGAAGAAGGCCUUCGGGUUGUAAAGCACUUUCAGCGAGGAGGAAGGUGGUGAACUUAAUACGUUCAUCAAUUGACGUUACUCGCAGAAGAAGCACCGGCUAACUCCGUGCCAGCAGCCGCGGUAAUACGGAGGGUGCAAGCGUUAAUCGGAAUUACUGGGCGUAAAGCGCACGCAGGCGGUUUGUUAAGUCAGAUGUGAAAUCCCCGGACUCAACCUGGGAACUGCAUUUGAAACUGGCAAGCUAGAGUCUCGUAGAGGGGGGUAGAAUUCCAGGUGUAGCGGUGAAAUGCGUAGAGAUCUGGAGGAACACCAGUGGCGAAGGCGGCUCUCUGGUCUGUAACUGACGCUGAGGCGCGAAAGCGUGGGGAGCAAACAGGAUUAGAUACCCCCGUAGUC
Molecule: ribosomal RNA, 465 nt
Filed under: uncultured bacterium
Lineage: Bacteria
Description: bacterial SSU rRNA
Rfam family: Bacterial small subunit ribosomal RNA
Source: RNAcentral